UUCCCCAUACCCCCCCCCCAAAUUAGGUAACACAAAUGUUAUCUAGUGCCAUCUUUUGACGUAUAUAUACUGUAGGCACUCGGAGUUGCAAUGAAAGAAGUUCAUGCUGAGCAAGCCUACAGAAGGAAUACAUAAAGAAAUAUGGGUGAGGAAGACUUUCAAGGAUUUUCACCCUUGCAGCCACAUGCAGCGUCUUGAGAAAAAGUGCCUAGUUGUGGCCAGUCAACCCCAGUACAAUGAGAGGAUCUUCUCCAUCCACCUAAAUCCUCAGAGCCCUGCAGUGACCUCCCCACUGGGCCAGGUGAUGUGGUGAAAGAGUGCAUGUAGAGAAAGCACCACUGUGAUCUACAGCUUCAGCCCAGAAGCCACAUGCAUCACCGACAUCUACUGGUAAGAAGUCAUCUGGCCAUGCCUGGCUGACAGCAAUAAGUCUGCAAAAUAGAUAACAUGGAUUCUGCUGAACACUGUGAAUACUAUGCAUAUAAAUGGCUUUUUGAGUUGAGUGGAAGCAAACAGACAAAGUCAAG
Molecule: non-coding RNA, 527 nt
Organism: Heterocephalus glaber (naked mole-rat)
Lineage: Eukaryota; Metazoa; Chordata; Mammalia; Rodentia; Bathyergidae
Source: RefSeq, a predicted model, not a curated record